RNAcentral lists this long non-coding RNA (10140 nucleotides) under Canis lupus familiaris (dog). RNAcentral's name for it is "lncRNA (ENSCAFG00000058284.1)". Lineage: Eukaryota; Metazoa; Chordata; Mammalia; Carnivora; Canidae. The record is from RNAcentral.
UUUUUCUGCAAAGAGAAGACAAGGUAGGGAAGCCUUGUUCUGAGAUGUGGCAUUCUCACAAACCACAAGGCUGGGAUCUUUAUAUCACUUGGAAACUUUUGGAUGGAGAGGCACCUGGGUGGCUCAGUGGUUGAUCAGCUGCCUUCAGCUCAGGGUGUGAUCCUGGGGUCCUGGGAUCCAGUCCUGCAUUGGGCUCCCUGCAGGGAGUCCCUCUGCCUGUGUCUCUGUCUCUCUCUGUAUCUUUCAUGAAUAAAUAAAUAAAAUCUUAAAAAAAAAAUAAAAAGAAAGAAAGAAACUUUUGGAUGGAGUCCAGCUCUUUCCCAUUGGGGAAUAUCCACUGAGGCUGGGUCCUCCCAUGGCCAUGCUCAGGAACUCCUUUUAUUAAGAACCUGUCUUUCUCCCUGUCUCUUUGCAGUUCCACAGGUAUGGGGGAAAGAAAAGACUUCUUUUAAUGUACUGAAAAUAACAUCCACUUAAAAGUGCUGCAUCUCAAUGUAGUAUCUCAUUUUUCUGGUAGUCUUGGUGAGAUUACAGACACGUAAAUAUUUCAGAUUCCUAAAAUUUUCCUACCAUAAGCACCAGACUCACUAUCAAAGGUAUUGCCACUUGUCUUUAAAAGUAGACGCUACAGAGCAUAAUAUUUGAUGAUUCAGUCUUUCAGAUAAGACUCUGGCUGAUACCAUGUUGUAACAAUAGAAGUGAGUGCUUCUCUGGUCUCUCACUAUGGGUCAGGUACCGUUUUAAGUCCCCUGCAGCUUCAAGUAAUUUACUUCCACGUUUAUUUCCAUACAACCCUGUGACAUAGGUACAGUGUUUGUCUUCAUUUCACAGAGAGGAAACUGAAGCACAGAGAGGUUGAGAAACUUGUCUGAGACUGUAAAGUAGCCUAUAGAAGAGCUGGGGUUCAGACAUUUGCAGCGGGGUUCUGAAUCUGUGUCGUUAGCCACCAUGUGCUGCUCUUCUCUGCCCCUCUCGUGGUGGGUCCCUUUGAGCUAGUGAAGGCUGUUGGCUCUGCUCUUGUGCAUUUUGUGUUGUUACAUCUGUAUGUGAAGGUGUCUCCUUAAGCUUCCCUGCUGCCAUCUACUAGUUGUUUUCAUCCUUUCUGCCUUUUAAUUUGCUGCUACUCCUUGGAUUUGGACUUGGGAAAUCAGCAUAAAAAAAGCUGAUUAGAAUUGCAUAUUGUCACCACUUGCUGCUCUCUUAUGCGAAAAUUGUAUGAGCAACAGUACAUGGAAUCUGUGGAUUUUGUUUUUAAUCUCUGCAAGUCUUGGUUCUGGAUAAGGAAGGAACCCCAGCAUUUUGUAAGUGCCAAGUAAUAAAAACAACACUAAUAGUUAUUUGUUGAGUAUCUACUGUCGUGCUGUACUACAUACUUAACCUCUGUUUCCUUAUGUCAAAUCCUUGCCAGCUCCUAAAGUGGGGAUCAUGCUCCCCAUAUUCACAGAAGAAGGAAGGAGGUCUCUGAGAGGUUAAGAGACUUAACCAGUUUUUACUCAGCUAAUAAGCUAAAACUCAGGUGCAGGACUUGCUGACUCCAAAGCCCUGGCUUCUCAUUCUACCCUUUUGCCCUAAGUAUUACUCUGUUUUCUUUACAAACAUUAUUUCGAUUGAAAUGACCUUGCUUGUUGUUAGCUUAAUUACUACAGUGCAUUUAGACACAUGCUUUGAAGUGUGGACUUAGAGCACAAAGUGGUCUGAGGCUUUAUAUUAGAAACAGUAUAAGAGAUUUUUGAAGGGUUGUUUUAAACAUCAUUCAGUCAUGUUUGUGAUCCCAAUAGAUAUGAAACAUUGGAGUGAAAUGUGUCUACACUCUGGAGGUCCAACCAGGCAUUGUUGCUAUGGGGCAUGGGACACGGAUGAGGGUGAGGAAAUGGGAACGACCAGCAAGAGAUGAACCAAGAGACAUUUUGGAUAUGGAAUGAACAGAAGUUUUUACCUUAUUGGGAAGUGGUGAUGAAGGAAGUGUCGGGAAUGAUUUUUAAAUUUCUGAUUUAUUUGAAUUGGUGAAAGAGAUUUUAUGCCCUGAGAUGUGGAAUAUAACAGAUGGAAUGACUUUUAAGGGGGAAUGGAUGGGAGUUUUAUUUUAAACAUUGAAGUGUGAUGAACUUGUAGGAUGCCCAGAAAGAAGUGCUCAGCUGAAAUCUGACAAAAAGGGCCUAUUUUCUGAUUAUCGUCAUAGUUAAUGGGGAUUCUACAGGUUCCUGAUGAGCAGGUUGGUGUUUUUGAUGAAGGUGGAUUGUCAUGUGUAUCAAACAUUUUUGGAUUGCUUCUCCAGCAUUCUUUUUCCCUUUGGGCUUUCUUAAAAUCACUCAGAUCUGCUUCUAGAGAACUCCUCUUUUUUCAUUCUCAGCCAAGCUCUUUGAAUGGGAUUGAUAUACCCUCUACUCAGUAGGCAGGCCUUUAGCAUUUGAGCUCAUUACCACAUCCCUCUCCUGACUCCUGAGGGUUGGUUUUAUCAGUUGAGAUGCUUUGAGUUGCAAAUAACACGGUAUCUGAGUAAAAGUGUCAUAAGAACUAGGAGAUUAUUCUCCCAAGAAGAUUUCUGGAAGAAGGCAGCUCCAAGGCUUUUUCCAUGAUUCAAUAAAGUCAAUCUCUAGAUCAGCCUAAGAUUUUCAUUGUCACAAGAUAGCUGCCACAGUCUCAAAUAUCACUUCCUUCUGUAACAGCAUCCAAAAAAGGGUAGACAGAGUAGAUGUCUACUUACAUUUCUCUUUAAGAGGAAAAUCUUUUCCAGAGGUCUUAAGUAGACUUCUCUAAAGGUUCUAUUGAGCAGAAUUGCCCAAGCCCUAAAGCAGUCAUUGGAAAAAGCAGUGGUACUAUUAUGAUUGACUUAGUCCAACUAUGGUUUAUCCCUUAAGACUGAGGGAGUGGCUCACUUCCCUGAGCUGACUGCUGCUCUAUACUUGAACAAAAUCAAGGUUCUGCUAUCAAGGAGGAAGGGGAUACCAGCUAUUGGAUAGGCAACAUAUAGUCUGUUGCACUGGGUCUAUGAUUUAGUAGACACAAGUAGAACUUUGCAGAGGCAUCCUUCCUGCAAGAACUUCCGUGCUCUUCUAAGAGACCUAUAAACACUCUUUUUCUAUGGAUGAUGUGAUAAUGCGGCUCUGAUAUCUAAAACUGCUGCAGCUACUCCGAAGGGAGUGCACCUGAGGAAAAAGACAAUAACACAAGAGUAGGGAAUGCAAAAUAUAGUGGGAGCCUUGAGUUUAUGGUAGAUUUCUGGAUCAAACUGUAGCUGAAGCUGGCUAUACUGCAGGGUGUCCAGUUAUAAAAGAAAAGCCAUUCUCUAUUUUUGCUUAAGCCAUGUUGGGCUAGGUUUUCUGUUACAUGCAGUAUGAACAAUUUUUAUAGUAAAAGCAUUGGGAAUUUGAGCAAUGAGGCCUGUUCUUUCUGCCCUAAUGAGGAGGACUGACCUCAUUUUCAGUUAAAUAGUGUUGAAAAAAAAAUAGUGUUGAACAUGAUUGGUAAAAUUCUAAUAUGCUUUUUAUCUUUGUAGCAAGGAACUUUUAUUUACUCCAGACAACUAGAGGAAUACCUCUCUAUUUGAAGAAGGCAAUGAGGACAAGAUAGCUAUAUUGCCCUAGAGACAUGUAACUUCGAAGUUCUGUGAGAAAUAUAAAUAGGUCCCCUCUAAAAUCUUCUAUACUUAGUGAAUAGAGAAACACUAUUUUUCAUUUUCCCUGCCCAAAUGAUUCUUCCAGAUAGUACUCAAGUAAGCUGCCCUAUUAGAGAUUAAAUGAGGCAUUCAUAACACAUACCCUUAAAUCCAUGAUCUGCUCUUAUUAGGCUUAAAAAGUGGUGCCUUACUUAUGAACACAAAUGUCAGUGUGUCUUAUAACUGCUUAUUUCAGCUCUCCACAUCUUUAUCUUCUUCGAAUAGCUGGCAACUUGAUAAUAUUUUAUUUUUGUCUUUAAGAGUGAUUUAGUUUAAAAUAAGCAAAUAGGUAAGCAAAAAGGGCUUCCUGCCUGCUUCUUCAAAAUGAGCAAUGCCUCUGUCCUCAGGGGCUGUCAGAUUUAUGUCCUUAGAUGAACAGUAAUUACAUUAAUAACUUUAAGAGCUAAUUAGCAUUUUAUAGUAAACACAUUGUUCGUUGCACUAAGGGGAGGGAUGGCUGUAUCCUUUCAGUGGAAUAAUUGCUUUUCGAAAUCAGAGCCCAUUUAUCUUAAAUUCAGCGAUACGUGCCAUGGCCCGGCCAAGAGGACCCUUGUGUGCUGAUUCUGUGCUGAUUCUUCCCGAGCCCCAGUCUGGUUAAUUCUCAUGACAAAAACUGCAGAAACUCAAACAGGAAAAUGUGAAUUAACUUCAGUUUCUAACGUGUGAACCAAGGAAAGCAUCCGGUACCUUGUCAUCUCUUCUUCACAUGCUUCACUUUUUCCAAUGUUUUUCUCCUUUCGUUUUGAGAAAAUGUGUUUGCCAAAGUGUUUAUAUACCCCGUUCAGUCUGAGACACCCCCCCCCCUCCGGCUCCUGGGCUCCGUACAGUGCAGGAAGGUACUAGGUACUACAUUAUUGCAGCAAGUCCUGGAAGUACACUUUGACUUUGCAAGCUUACAGCUAACCAUGGAUAAAUUUAAGACUUUUCAUCAGGAUAUUGACGCUCUUCCCCAGAAGCCCCCUUUUGGAAGUUUUCUCUGCCUGUAGCCACUUUCAGUACUUCCCUUAACCCAUGGUUGCAGCAACUCCAAAUCGACAGUCUUGUCAGAACGAAUGAUCUAAAAUAAACAUCCUCUUGUCCGCCUGCAUGACUAAUCCUGACAUGGAUGCUUUGCCCAUAUCAGCCAUGAGUCAGUUGUCCUUAGAAGCGCUCUGCUCAUUGUGUUGGUCCAGUAGCAGAGGAGGGCACAGAGAAGGUCUGCGAAGGGCUCAUGACGUUACAAUCCAAAUUAAAUCAUCAAAGGACUCCUCCCCCCUCCACCACCACUUUCUCCCUCCUGGCAGCCUUCUCGGUGGCAAUGGUUACCUCAUUUACACAAAACCCUUAGAGUUGGUCAACAAAUCACGUUAGAACCCCAAUAACCAUUUGAUGUGUACCAAAGACACUAGACAAGAGAGAAAAUGUAAAUCUCAGGUCUACAGUUUUACAAGUUGAGGCUCUCCUCUGAUGUUUUCUUUGCUACUCAGAGCGCUCUAAAACUUUGAUAUCUUAGGGAUUCAUAGUGGGAACUAUCUAACGGUACUGACAAAUAUCAACUAAUAAUAGACAUUCUGUCUCUUUGGUCCUCAAGAAGAUUUUGUCGGUUUUUCUUCACUCUUAUUAAGCUUAACGCUGUGAGCCUAAAGAAUAGAAAGAGAAGAGUUGCUAAGUUUGUGUAUUCCAGGUCUCAAAACCAGGGAAAUCAAUGUGAGACUAUGAAGAGAUUUUUUUCUAUUCAUGUUUUAAGGUUUGUUAUCCUCUAUAAAGCCAUUAAAAUUCGACAUUACAGUUUUGCAAAGAGCCUUAACAAAAAUUUUGAGGGAGUGUAGUGAUGCUUCAAAGCUGCUGAAAUUAUAUGUGCCUAGCACAAAUUAAGUAGAAAUUGCUUGAUUAUUAGGCUUAUCUGAUCAAUUAAAAUAGCCAAUUGGAAUAAAAGAAAUCCACUUUUGUGCCGUAAUUAUCUGAACUGAUUGUCUGUGUCACACUUUCUGAGUCAUUAUCAUUUUUAUACAUCAUUUCAAGAGAUACAGACAGCCUAAAAGCUUGCAAAUUAGUUUUUUUAUAAAGGAAAAAACCUAAUUGUGGAUGUUAUUCUUAAAUUUUCAUUUUAUAUCAUAUUUAGGCAUCUCAGAAAGUCUUUAAUACUAUGGGAAAACUACUGAGGGGGAGAAAAAAAGGCCACCAUCCAAAUUUAUCACAAGAUCUACUUAAAUUGCUACAUGUUCUCUCUUAGACUAUUUGCAGUAUAUAUUCUAUUCUUGGUAAGUAGCCCUGAGUGUCUCAUAUUAAUUCUGCCUGGAGUGUGGUUGUUUCCUUAAAAUACAUCCCAAGUCACACUUAAGCUCAAGUGCCAAAUGCCAGGCCUUUAGAAACUAAAACAACUACAACAACAACAACACCGAACUGUUUUUCUCAUACCCACCUGAUUAUUUUGGUCAUAUUUGAUCUAACUCAGAGCUGUUACUAAAGAGUAUAAGGACGGUCAUCAUCCUUGGUGGUUAACUUUGUGUGUUAACUUGACUGGGCCACCAGGUGUCCAAAUAUUUGGUUAAGUGGGUAUGUCUAUGAGGAUGUUUCUAGAUGAGAUUAACAUUUGAAUCAGUAGAUGGAGUAAAGCAAGUAUCUCUUCCCAAUGUGAGUUGGCCUCCAAUCCACCCAGGGCCCGAACAGAACCAAAAAGGCUGAGUAAGAAAGAGCUUACUCUUUCGGAGUGUCUCGGAGCUGAGACAUUGGUCUUCUCCUGCCUUCAGGAACUCAGACUAGAAUUUAUACCCUUGGUUUUCCCGGGCCUCCAUUUUGCCAAGUGCAGAUCUCAGGACUUACACAGCCUCCAUAGUCAUGUAAGCCAAUUUCUUAUAAUAUAUACCUGUACUGUUUUGGUUCUUUUCUCUGGAGAACUGUGUCUACUACAUCAGCUAACCAAAGUCAACAUAAUGUUGAAAAUGAAGCUAUUUCAUAAGACUAUUGUGUUAAGAUUUAAUUUUUAAUAUUCACAGAAGUAUAUAAUCUCAUCUUGAUAGAAUGAACCAAUCUAGUAGGUGAGCAAUCUACUGUUUAGCAUUGUAGUCUUUUCUGAUGUAACAGAGCCCUUUUGGCCCUUGGGGAUCUGCAAGAAAGGCAGGGAUGUCAAAUAUGCAUAGGUUUCUGAGGGGAAGAGUAACACAGAUCCAAUAUAUAGUUUCAUCCCCCAAGAUUUAGACCCAAUGGUCUAAAAACAAAUAAAUGGCAGUACUGGGGAACCCAAGGUAAAGGGCCCAGAUAAGGACCUGCUGGCUGUCCCUUGUUCCAUUGUAAUAGAGUUUAUCUGGGUACAUGAUUGCCCUGUUAGAGAUUGCAUUUCCCAGAUUCCCUUGCAGCUGGAUGUGGCCAUGAGACUCCGUUCUCUCCCCCAUUCUCUCCAGUGAAAUGUAAAUAGAUGUGCAAGUACAACUUCUGCAAGUGAUUGUCUAGAAAGAUAUUACUUGUUCCAAACUUCUUUUUUUUCCCACUUUUCCUGUGAGAGCCAUAGACUGGAAAAGGGAUGUGGGGGUGAACUCAACUUUGUGUCAAUUCUAAGGGUUCCAAGUUGAAAGGAAUGCAUGUCUGUGAGUGGCCUCAGGGAGCGGUGUUGCCUCAUGUUCUGUAUAAAAGAGAAAUAAACUUCCAGUCUGUGUUUUUGUUGUUGUUAUAUCAGCUAAUCUUUAUUCAGCCUUGCUAAUACUUAAUUAGCUUAAUGAAACCUUACUUAGCAGAAUCUCUAGGCUUACCUGAUACUUCUCUAUCAAUAACUUAACUCUAUGCCUGCAUUCACACCUGUUCCUCACCACGGUCACCCUGAUUGCUGAUCUUUUGGGGGCUGUUGUGCCCUGAAAUAGCUCAUAUGUUACACAGAAAAUCUUGUAAGUAAGUGGAAGCUACACCUCCAAAAGGAUGUAUAUAUACUAAACUUAUUUUACUCAUAAAGAAACUGCCUGGAAAGUGGAAGUUGAAAGCUUAAGCUUUUUAGCAUAUUUAUUUUCUCAUUCUCCUUCUGUCUGUCUUUGUGUCCGUUUUUCUGACUCCUUCACACAUACACUCACUCUGUGUAUAUUUUAAUAAUUAGAUUAGAACAGCUAAUCACAGAUUCAGUAAGAGGCAAUGUCUUUUUUAAAAGGAAAGGUCAGAUUGGAAAACUUCAGUUUUCAAGAGCAUCAACACCUAAGAAGCUGUGCUUCUUAUAACAUAUUUAUAUUAAUGCUAGAAAUCUCUCUUAGAUAAUAACAAAAAUACUACUAGUAGUUUGAUGGAAAGUGACUUUCUGAUGGAAAAAUAAUAGAUGCAUGAGGAUAUUUUAUAACCAAAUAUAAACCAAAACCCAUACAAAUAUAUAUGUAAAAAUUCAUUGGUUUUCCUAAAAAUGCUGCCUAUAGAGAAUUGAGUACUGUUGCCUUGUAUCUUUUAUACAUUUGAUAGGAAAAUCAGGAUAAGGAACCAACUGAUAUGUGUAGAUCUAUGCAUUCUUUUGACCUGUGAACAGGAUCUGCUGGAAUUGACUUGGAGAUGAGCUGAUUUCACACCUCAUAAUUGGCCCACAGAAAAUCUUGGUGGCUCUACUCUAUUGUAGGGAUAGAGAGCACAUGUUAGUGUGCUCUUAUUAAAUUAAAUUUAUUUUUAAAAAAUAUUUGUAAGCCAGAACUUCAUUAUAUUAAAGAAUAUAUUCUAUCAAUGGGGUAACGGUUGAUAUCUGGCCAAUAAUAUGUUAAUAUGUAUUUUAUGAUCAAGUGAAUCAUAUUUUCAGCAGAUACUUUUCUUAAGUCAAGAGGUAACUCUUUCCUGUUCCCCCUGGAUGUGGUUUAAGGCUAGACUGCUUCCCCACUGAGAGGUUACAGAGUUACAGACAGUAUUUAUUGGUUUAUGACUGAUUUAUAUAUUACUUGAUUUAUAUAUAUUUAUAAAUAUUUGUUAAUAAAUUAUGCAAUAUAUAUCCUACACUAUAGGUUUAGUCAUUCUUAAGUAACCUAAUGUUUUUAUUGUCUUUAUUAAGGCUUACAUUAAUAUUAUUAAUAUUUAUUAUUUAUUAUUAUUAUUGCUAAAGACACCUAAAUGGAGUGGAUAAAACUGAUAAAUAGUAAAAUAAGAUGGCUUAUUAUUAAUGAUAACAAUAAGACCAGAGUGGGUAGGCCAGGAAAGGAACACAUCUACAAAAUGUGUAAGACCCAUGUCUUUCACUUGUACUUGCUUCGUGUAGACAGAUCACUACUGACCUAAAUCUGCCUUCAGUAGAUAACUGGCGGCUCAGAUCUUCAAGUACAGGAGAAUCUAAAAACUCUGAAAGUAUUUAGAAAUGAUUUAAACAAAAUUUUUCAUGAGUUUAAAAAGGGGGGGGUAGAUAAUUUUCUGUAAAAUGCUAAUUGAUCUCUUCUUAGUGUUUUGAAAAACAGAUGUAAGCAGAAUAUAAAAAUGUUUCUUACCAAAGACGUGUUCAAUUUUUUGAAAUUGUAAUAUAUAUCAGUGGAUAUUACAUCAAUACACAUCAAUAUUUUCUGUUUGAUGAAAAUAUACAUCAAUAUUUUCUUUUUGAAAAUAGUAAUAUUUUUGGUCACAGUUUCUGUUCAAACUAAAACCUAAAGUUUUAUGGUUUUAUUUUUUAGAUUGAAAAAUUACCUUUUAAAGAGUUGUAGGAAUUUCCCCCCAUUUGGAACAGACCAUCCUUUUAUUCUUGGAGGAAUAUAUAAUAUACAAUCAUGGAAUAUUCAACUGUGGUGGAUAUUAUUAGUUAUGCGAAAAUAAAGCAAAUACCAACCCUUAGGCAAUUCAAUAAAAAUGCUUUACACUGAAGUGUUAAGAGUUGUGUUAAAUAAUGGAGAUUUGCUGUAUUAUUUAUGGUUUUAUGGAGUAAAGUUGAUGAAUACCCCUGCCCCCAACACGCACAUUCUAAAUUUAAAUACAGAUGCUCUAUGCUUGAAAAUUAUAAUUUGAGCUAGAUAGGAUUUCAAGUUAAGCCAGGACUCAGAGAGAAAGACACAUCUGAUUUUCUUGUCACUUCAUCUUAGAGAAAAGAUUAUAGCAGAGAGCGGAAGAUAAUUCAGAAUUUUUGGGAAAACUGUACUGACAGACUUGGACUUUUAUUGUCUGGGCCACGGUGCCAAAUUAGUCUCCUAGUCUUUGACAACAUGGUUUCCCUUGAGAAGAAUGAAUGUCUGGGGGAAGGUUAAUGUCUUCAGACAUGGAGUAAGACAUGAAAUGGGCCUUGGAUUUAGAAGGGCAACGUUCUCCAUGUCUGAUGGGGGCUCAAUUGGUCCCAGAUACCAAGGCAAGGUGGUAGGUGGUGACUUUUUGGAAAUGGGUGAUUCUAGUCCAGCAAGUUUAGGGCCCUAGGCUUUAAAAGCAGCCACUUUAGGGAUCCCUGGGUGGCGCAGUGGUUUGGCGCCUGCCUUUGGCCCAGGGCGCGAUCCUGGAGACCCGGGAUCGAGUCCCACAUCGGGCUCCCGGUGCAUGGAGCCUGCUUCUCCCUCUGCCUGUGUCUCUGCCUCUUUCUCUCUCUCUCU